CCUACGGGAGGCAGCAGUGAGGAAUAUUGGUCAAUGGACGAGAGUCUGAACCAGCCAAGUAGCGUGAAGGAUGACUGCCCUAUGGGUUGUAAACUUCUUUUAUAUGGGAAUAAAAUGUUCCACGUGUGGGAUUUUGUAUGUACCAUAUGAAUAAGGAUCGGCUAACUCCGUGCCAGCAGCCGCGGUAAUACGGAGGAUCCGAGCGUUAUCCGGCUUUAUUGGGUUUAAAGGGAGCGUAGGUGGAUUGUUAAGUCAGUUGUGAAAGUUUGCGGCUCAACCGUAAAAUUGCAGUUGAAACUGGCAGUCUGGAGUAGAGUAGAGGUGGGCGGAAGUCGUGGUGUAGCGGUGAAAUGCUUAGAUAUCACGAAGAACUCCGAUUGCGAAGGCAGCUCACUGGACUGCAACUGACACUGAGGCUCGAAAGUGUGGGUAUCAAACAGGAUUAGAUACCCGAGUAGUC
Molecule: ribosomal RNA, 460 nt
Filed under: uncultured bacterium
Lineage: Bacteria
Description: partial 16S ribosomal RNA
Rfam family: Bacterial small subunit ribosomal RNA
Source: RNAcentral